UGGGCGCCGGGCCGCGCCUGCUGCGCGACUGGCUGCCGGCCUGGCCCGGGGUGAGCGCCGGUCGCCAGGCCGUGGCUGGCGGGGAGGCUCCGUCAGGGACCCUGCAAACUGUGCUGGGCCCCAUCACAUGAAGUCGCCCCUUCGUUCAGCCGGGCAGCGUGGGGAGGCUGCGGGCGCUGCCUGCAACGGUGCUGGGAGAAAAGCCUUGCCUGAAAGUAGCGUGACACGCUAAAAAUCACCUUCAGCCAGAAGCUGCGGCUGCACCCGAGGAUCAGGCAAAGCGGUCUCUCGGUUUUCGCCUUCCCCUUGUCUCAAAGCUAAGUUGAAGCCCACCUCUGGAGAGAACUCGCGGCCCGGCGUGAGGGAAAGGGGCCGGGUACGCGUCUGGCGGUGGGAUGCAGCGUGCAAGGCGCCUACAGGAACUGGGCUGCUGCUGACUCAGGAGCUGCAUCAAGUCUGAGGAAUGGGGUCACAUUUCCUGAGUGCCUGAGACAUGCUGCAGUGAGCAAUGGGAUAGUGACAGGCACCUCCUACCUGCUGUCCCAUCUUGGAAGAGCGAUCACAGCCCUGUGCCGUAAGGAGCUGAAGCCCGCUGCUGUGGUGAUGGGCACUGUUCUACUUCCAGCAAUGUUGGGACUAAUCAUGUGAGAAAAGAUCCUGGAGUGAUGAGGCAGCAUAUUUCCCAUGUUUGAGGUCAGGAUUUGUUCUGUGAAGCUGACCUUUAAAACAGCCUGAAAAUGAGGAACGUGGCACCAGAGAGCAGAGCAGGAAGCAUGAAAUGAUGAAAUGCAAGAGUCUCCCAUGCAGUUUUCCAGAGGCCCACAUGCCUCUGGAAAGCAGUAGAAGUAUCUGCAUGAGCAAAAAGCUCCAUCCCAGGAAGAUACAGAGGGUGUAAGAAGAAUAAAACUGCGGCUGGAGAGAUCGAAAUGGCUUAGCUGGGGCACCAGGUGAAGUCCUGCAAUGGCUGGUCUUAUUUGCAAAGACUGCAGCUGAAAACAGACCCGGGCAACAGCUGAUCCAGACUAUUCCCAGCCUUUGGGGAACAUUCAGUUUUGGAUCUGAAGGACCCAUGUUUUAGGCUAAACUGAACCCAUGAGUAUAAAACUUCCUCAAAACUCUGGGGAGAUGUUGCUUUUGACCUCACUCUGUAGGUUGGAUCCUUUGCUUAGUCACUAGCUGGAUGAUGGUUGUUCUCAGUGUCAGGAAAAUAUCUACCUUUGCUCUCUGGCUCAGAUUAGAUUACUGUUGCCUCCCAGUUUAUCUGCUUUUAUAUACACAUCCUGCUGCUAUAUGUGGGUAAAAUAAAUGGCUAGUCAUUUUACACUCUUUCCUUUUAGCUUGUUGAUCACAGGAUUCAGUCAUAUGCAUAGUAAUGUGUAAUUGAAGGGUGGUGGCUUUGCCCAGCUGGCUUAGAUCUCACCUCUGAGCCCGUACUCAAAAAGACCUACCUAUUCUGAGCAGCGUGGGAAGCUCUCCAGGGCGCAGAAUGUGAGAAGUAAUCAAUUCCUGUAGAAAUGUUUCCACGAUGUCAUGGAAUCCAGCCAAGAGACAUGAUGAAAGUGAAAACUGUUUUCUAGGACAUCCAGUUUCAUUUGAUUUAGUCAUGCCCAUAGAGCUUCUCAGCAAACGUCUGUACCCUUCUGUGUGUUGAUCGUGUCCUGUGUCCUUUUGUGAUUUGGUUACCCUGGCAAUCCAACUAAUUUUCCAGAAAAGUCAGCUCCAUCAAAGUUCAUUGACUUGUUACAUUAAUGGUCUGCUUGCUCCUUCAGUAGACUCAGCAUCCAUUGAUUGCAGGUUCUUUCAUAGGCUUGGACAUUUAUGAGAAGAGAUCUGCAGAGGGUUAUGCCCUGGCAUGCUUGAUUGGAGCUGAUAUUUUUUUUUUCCUUGUUUCUUCUUCACUUUAGCUGGACUGAUCAUCUUUCAUGUUUCUUGAAACGCUAGGGCAGCUUUUCUACAUAUUACCAGGCUUCUGUUCCAGCAGGUUCUCUACAGGAGUGAAGUUUUCCGGUAAAAGUCUUUUCUUGCAUGUCUCUUUUCCAUGUGUUUGCACAAUAGUUUUACUUGAAAAAGUCUCAGCAUCAUUUCUGUCUCUAGGCAAGCCACACAGGGACCAAUGCAUAGCGAGUUCAUCUAUAUUUUCCACUUGAAUUUAGCAUUUUUUAGAGCUUGAGGAUUAAGAGAUACAGCCUAAAACAUACUUAAAUAUACCACAACACUGAGCAUUCAAAUGCCUGGCUCACUGAAUGCCAUGUGGGGUGCUUGCACUCUACAUGGGCAGAGUCAGGUGCCUCAAAAGAACAGAAUCUGACUGCAUAAGGAGCUGCCUGCACCAGCCAACAGAAGACACAAGCCUGGAAGGGGAAGUCAUAUGGGGAAGCCCAUGCAGUCAAGAGCUACUUACAUAUAAGAAAUAAUUAAAAAAUAAAAAAAAAAAACCAACUAAACGUGAAAUGUUAACCAGAGGUUGACCCAUCUCCUUUGGUAUCUCCCUCACUUCUUUGCCCAUGUUUGGGAGAGAAUACAGCCUGCACAUUCUCCUCAGGAUACUGGCAAUGGAGAGGAUUGCUGCAAGCUGAAGCACGUGGGAGGAGGAGGAGUGGAGACUGAGGUGAUGAAGGGGUGGCAGAACAGGCCUGGGAAGCUUCCUGAAGCUUUUACUGCAGCAAGCCCAAGCAAGGGCCAUCUCUUUUUAUAGAGGUAUAGUCAUGGGGUUUUCUUUGAGGAGUCCACCAUAAGCCAAAUCCUGCGAGUGCUCUGGAUCUCAGAACAUCGGGGUUUCAGGCUUGUUCAAAGGCCAGGCUCCUCCCAGCUGGAAGGCUGGUACUAUGGAGGAAAAAAUGAGGCUGUACCAACUCCAACUCCAUUCCGGGCACUGUGAUUUUUUGAGAGCAAUGUCAGGAUCCCAGCAGAGGAAGGAGAAGACAUGUGGCACUAAGGAGAUUUCUUCACUGAGAUAGAGCGAGCAACUUGUCAUCACAGCUGCCCUUGAAGUUGGGUGAUUCUCCCUUUCUCAUAAGGCCGCUUGCAUGCACAACGAGCACUGCAGAACUAAAUAAAAUCCCAGGCGUGGGUGGCACUACUCACCAGCUCCACUUGCCAAGAAGUCCCCAUAUACAGGGGCAGCAAUAACUCCUCCAAAAAGCUUCUGCACCCCAGGGUGGAGAAGGCCUCCCAGCACCAAUCCAAUGUGGUGCCGACACGUGCUAAAAAGGCUAGGCUGGAGACAGCGAUCCAGGUGAGGAUAUGCCUUCCUGAGAAGUCACAAGGUGGCCAUGUAGAAGCCCUGGGCUUUCCAAACAGUUUCGAGGGCCUGCCUGUUGCUUCUCUCAGGAGCACGCGUG
Long non-coding RNA from Grus americana (Whooping crane), 3341 nucleotides. RefSeq lists it as uncharacterized. The record is from RefSeq and is a predicted model, not a curated record. The transcript is spliced from 4 exons. NCBI's taxonomy places the organism in Eukaryota, Metazoa, Chordata, Aves, Gruiformes, Gruidae.